Lemur catta (Ring-tailed lemur) is the source of this 373-nucleotide long non-coding RNA. RefSeq lists it as uncharacterized. The transcript is spliced from 3 exons. The record is from RefSeq and is a predicted model, not a curated record. NCBI's taxonomy places the organism in Eukaryota, Metazoa, Chordata, Mammalia, Primates, Lemuridae.
CCAGGUAGAGUGCUAUAUUAGUGUAGCAUCAAACCUGCAAAAUAGAACCACAGGGAAGUGCCAGUGGACAGACAUGCCAAGCUGCGUUGUCGCUGAUGCACCACCGUGGCACUGGGAUGGAACAGGAUGGAGCCACAUAUUGGAAGACAGACACUUGUGCUGCUCUGCUGACUGUGAUCUGGGUUUGACUCAUGGAACUAAACAACAUUUCUGAUGAGACCAAGUCCCCAGAUUGCCUCUAGAGGAAGCCCCUGGAACCCAGCUGAUGUGCCAAUGUCUCUGCCCUUUUCCUCCUAAGAAGUGGAUUUGGAAAUGUGACACUUUCACCCUUAAAUGGAAGACUCUGGACCAAAUGCCACACUUCCAGUUUCCA